CCCUUAGAUGUCCUGGGCCGCACGCGCGCUACACUGAGUGUCUGAGAUACGAGUCUGCCUGGUCCGGCAAGGUCUAGGUAAUCGCUAAAAGACACAUCAUGCUUGGGAUAGAUUUUUACAAAUAUUAAUCUUGAACGAGGAAUUCCUAGUAAGCGCAAGUCAACAGCUUGCGUUGAUUACGUCCCUGCCCUUUGUACACACCGCCCGUCGCUACUACUGAUUGGAUGUUUAAGCGAGGUUCUCGAACUGCUAGCGACUUAGCUUCGGUGAGGUCGCAGUGUGGGAAGUGAACCUAGCUUUGGUGUCUAGAGGAAGUAAAAGUCGUAACA
This 329-nucleotide ribosomal RNA is filed under the name uncultured eukaryote. RNAcentral's name for it is "partial 18S ribosomal RNA". It matches the Rfam family "Eukaryotic small subunit ribosomal RNA", at positions 1470 to 1796 of the family's 1831-position model. The record is from RNAcentral.